Molecule: ribosomal RNA, 328 nt
Filed under: uncultured eukaryote
Lineage: Eukaryota
Description: partial 18S ribosomal RNA
Rfam family: Eukaryotic small subunit ribosomal RNA
Source: RNAcentral
CCCUUAGAUGUCCUGGGCCGCACGCGCGUUACACUGAUGCAUUCAACGAGCUUAUAACCUUGGCCGAGAGGCCUGGGCAAUCUUGUUAACGUGCAUCGUGAUGGGGAUAGAUUAUUGAAAUUAUUAAUCUUGAACGAGGAAUUCCUAGUAAACGCAGAUCAUCAAUCUGCAUUGAUUACGUCCCUGCCCUUUGUACACACCGCCCGUCGCUCCUACCGAUUGGGUGUGCUGGUGAAAUGUUCGGAUCGGCCGUUUGUCGCGGUUUCCGCGGCUCGUGGCUGAGAAGUUCAUUAAACCCUCCCACCUAGAGGAAGGAGAAGUCGUAACA